Perca fluviatilis (European perch) is the source of this 486-nucleotide long non-coding RNA. RefSeq lists it as uncharacterized. The transcript has 3 exons. The record is from RefSeq and is a predicted model, not a curated record. NCBI's taxonomy places the organism in Eukaryota, Metazoa, Chordata, Actinopteri, Perciformes, Percidae.
GUGACGGAAGUCCUCUACACUUCCGGGUCGCUCACUCCGUGAGGUGUUUUGCUGUGCUACAGAUCUUCCGUUGGCGGGUUGUCCUUCACCUUACCGGUUGAACGGCGGUGAAUGAAAAGCGAGUAACACUGAUAGCUGCUGCGGUUUGCAUGCUCGGAGCUGAGCUUGAACGGAACACUGAAGCUGCCGGAGAUCCCUGUUAGCUGCUUAGUACUUCAACUACUGCCUGCUGUUUUGCCGAGGCUGCUGUUUUGCCGAGGCUGGUUUUUGCCUAAGAAGGCUUUUGCCGGGAUUGCUGCUGUCCUUUAAAAAUCCUGAGUAUCGUAACUAUUGCUGCACGCCUGUGUUGCCUUUAGGGCUACUGGGCCAAUGUAUAAACCACCUGUUUUUAUAUGAAUGAAUGUAUGUAGCGGAGGGGUUUGGCUCCCUACAUUAAUUUGGUUGAUUUAGUUGUUUCUUUCUUUACUUUCUUUCCAUUUUUUCAAU